This 466-nucleotide ribosomal RNA is filed under the name uncultured bacterium. RNAcentral describes it as "partial 16S ribosomal RNA". It matches the Rfam family "Bacterial small subunit ribosomal RNA", at positions 28 to 507 of the family's 1533-position model. The record is from RNAcentral.
GAUGAACGCUGGCGGCGUGCUUAACACAUGCCAGUCGAACGGAAAGGCCACAGCUUGCUGUGGUACUCGAGUGGCGAACGGGUGAGUAACACGUGGGUGAUCUGCCCUGUACUUCGGGAUAAGCUUGGGAAACUGGGUCUAAUACCGGAUAGGAAUCACAUGUGGGUGUGUGGUUGGAAAGCUUUUGCGGUAUGGGAUGAGCUCGCGGCCUAUCAGCUUGUUGGUGGGGUAAUGGCCUACCAAGGCGUCGACGGGUAGCCGGCCUGGGAGGGUGUACGGCCACAUUGGGACUGAGGUACGGCCCAGACUCCUACGGGGGGCAGCAGUGGGGAAUAUUGCACAAUGGGGGCAAGCCCGAUGCAGCGACGCCGGGUGGGGGAUGACGGCCUUCGGGUUGUAAACUCCUUUCGUCAGGGACGAAGCGAAAGUGACGGUACCUGGAUAAGAAGCACCGGCUAACUACGUG